Prolemur simus (greater bamboo lemur) is the source of this 191-nucleotide small nuclear RNA. Its record names the gene U2. It matches the Rfam family "U2 spliceosomal RNA". From Rfam's summary of the family: U2 is a small nuclear RNA (snRNA) component of the spliceosome (involved in pre-mRNA splicing). Lineage: Eukaryota; Metazoa; Chordata; Mammalia; Primates; Lemuridae. The record is from Ensembl.
AUCACUUUUUGGCCUUUUGGCUAAGAUGAAGUGUAGUAUCUUUUCUUAUCAGUUUAAUAUCUGAUAUAUUCUUUAUCUGAGGACAAUAUAUUAAAUAGAUUUUUGGAACAAGGAGAUGGAAUAGGAGCUUGCUCCCUCCACUCCUCGAAUUGAUCUGGUAUUGUAAUACCUCCGAGAACAGUGUACCCCUC